AGCGUUUCGUUUUGUGUGGUGCACAAAGAAGCGUAACGACAGCACUGAAUGACGGUUAACGGAGCGCAAGCGACGUUCAACAUACAAAGUCAAGCAGUGGAGCGCUUUGGGGUGGGGUGACUGCGUACCUUUUGUAUAAUGGGUCAGCGACUUAUAUUCUGUAGCAAGGUUAACCGUAUAGGGGAGCCGUAGGGAAACCGAGUCUUAACCGGGCGUUAAGUUGCAGGGUAUAGACCCGAAACCCGGUGAUCUAGCCAUGGGCAGGUUGAAGGUUGGGUAACACUAACUGGAGGACCGAACCGACUAAUGUUGAAAAAUUAGCGGAUGACCUGUGGCUGGGGGUGAAAGGCCAAUCAAACCGGGAGAUAGCUGGUUCUCCCCGAAAGCUAUUUAGGUAGCGCCUCGUGAAUUCAUCUCCGGGGGUAGAGCACUGUUUCGGCUAGGGGGCCAUCCCGGCUUACCAACCCGAUGCAAACUGCGAAUACCGGAGAAUGUUAUCACGGGAGACACACGGCGGGUGCUAACGUCCGUCGUGAAGAGGGAAACAACCCAGACCGCCAGCUAAGGUCCCAAAGUCAUGGUUAAGUGGGAAACGAUGUGGGAAGGCCCAGACAGCCAGGAUGUUGGCUUAGAAGCAGCCAUCAUUUAAAGAAAGCGUAAUAGCUCACUGGUCGAGUCGGCCUGCGCGGAAGAUGUAACGGGGCUAAACCAU
RNAcentral lists this ribosomal RNA (712 nucleotides) under Salmonella enterica. Its description in RNAcentral is "partial 23S ribosomal RNA". The stretch from base 91 to 712 matches the Rfam family "Bacterial large subunit ribosomal RNA", at positions 567 to 1190 of the family's 2925-position model. The record is from RNAcentral. Lineage: Bacteria; Pseudomonadati; Pseudomonadota; Gammaproteobacteria; Enterobacterales; Enterobacteriaceae.